AUCUCCCAUUCUUUCCUAUUUCUUAGUAAAAGUGUUCUUUCUAUUCCAUUCAAUUGUUGGGUUCUUAACAAUACAUCAUUUUAUUUGCAAUCUUUCUCAGAAUGCUAACGGGAGAAAAAAACCUCUAAAGAAGCAUAAAAGAUCUCCUAUUGUUGGUGUGGAGGAUAAAGGUAGUAAAACCUCAAGGCAGCCGAGAAAACAAGCAGUUCGUGAACUGUCUAAAAACCCAUUUAACAAGGCUGUUGAGGUUGAUGAUGUCCUCGACCCUCCUUAUGAGUUUGAUGGAGAUGUACUUGAAGAAAACGAUGAUGAGGACGAAGUGGAUUAUUCAUUCAAUAUGAAAAGAGCAUCGACGAGUUCAAAGAAGAAAUCAGUGGCUAAAACUGGAAAAACUUAUAAAAAAACGCAAAAAGGCUAAUGAUGAUUUAGAAAAGGGUACUGAAGAACCUCCUAAAAAGUUCCCGCAUUCAUCUCGGCGAAGAAAAAGAUGUGUGGACAAGGCUCUGCUGGAAGAUGAUUAUCUUGAUCAUCGAACAUUACCUCUUCGAGAUAUUAUUAGACGUGGAGAAUGUAGGGAGCGAUCGGCAAAAAAGGAGGCAAUUAAUUCUAAAACAUCUUCCACCAAUCAAAGGUACACUACGUCACUGCCCUUCGGUUAGAUUUAAGUUAGACAAUCGCAGAAAUGCCACAUUUAUUUUCUGGUCAAUGUUUACCUUUUUUAAUCUGAAAGUAUAUAGCAAAUUAGUGCAUAUCACUGUACACAUCUUGUUUACUACAAUUCGAUGUGAUCCUUACAGUCUCAUGCUAUUGAAUUAAGAAAUAUCUGAAAAUAUUGUGAAACUUUUCUUAAUAAAGCGAAUUUUUUUUUAAUUAUUCUUUUUUGUGAAACCACCAUAUGGCAUACCACAUCUUUCAUUCAGUGAUUCUGUGAAGUCUUUUGACCUGAUGGAUUGCCAUGUUGUCAAGAAGUGCACUAUUUUCAUCCUUGACAAAAUUGGUUCAGGCGGAUUGAGGCAUGGAGCAUGAUAGAUGUGACAGUAUGGAAAUAUAAUUACUUAGUAAAAUUUAUACAACCAUCUUCUAUUUAGUCCCAAGUUAGGAACUAUUGUACAGCUAUUAUAACUGUGAUAACUGAUUCUUUUAGUUAGUUAGU
Molecule: long non-coding RNA, 1153 nt
Organism: Medicago truncatula (barrel medic)
Lineage: Eukaryota; Viridiplantae; Streptophyta; Magnoliopsida; Fabales; Fabaceae
Exons: 3
Source: RefSeq, a predicted model, not a curated record